UAGUAACUGCGAGUGAAGCGGGAAAAGCUCAAAUUUAAAAUCUGGCGGUCUUUGACCGUCCGAGUUGUAGUCUGGAGAAGUGCUUUCCGUGCUGGACCGUGUACAAGUCUCUUGGAACAGAGCGUCAUAGAGGGUGAGAAUCCCGUCUUUGACAUGGACUACCAGUGCUUUGUGAUGCGCUCUCGAAGAGUCGAGUUGUUUGGGAAUGCAGCUCUAAAUGGGUGGUAAAUUCCAUCUAAAGCUAAAUAUUGGCGAGAGACCGAUAGCGAACAAGUACCGUGAGGGAAAGAUGAAAAGCACUUUGGAAAGAGAGUUAAACAGUACGUGAAAUUGCUGAAAGGGAAACGCUUGAAGUCAGUCGCGUCGGCCGGGACUCAGCCUUGCUUUUUGCUUGGUGCACUUUCCGGUUGGACGGGCCAGCAUCGAUUUUGACCGUCGGAAAAGGGCUGAGGAAAUGUGGCACCUUCGGGUGUGUUAUAGUCUUCAGUCGCAUACGGCGGUUGGGAUCGAGGAACGCAGCGCGCCGCAAGGCAGGGGUUCGCCCACUUUCGCGCUUAGGAUGCUG
This 565-nucleotide ribosomal RNA is filed under the name Fomes fasciatus. Its description in RNAcentral is "eukaryotic LSU rRNA". It matches the Rfam family "Eukaryotic large subunit ribosomal RNA", at positions 81 to 628 of the family's 3401-position model. Lineage: Eukaryota; Fungi; Basidiomycota; Agaricomycetes; Polyporales; Polyporaceae. The record is from RNAcentral.